RNAcentral lists this ribosomal RNA (154 nucleotides) under Stegodyphus mimosarum. RNAcentral's name for it is "5.8S ribosomal RNA". It matches the Rfam family "5.8S ribosomal RNA". From Rfam's summary of the family: 5.8S ribosomal RNA (5.8S rRNA) is a component of the large subunit of the eukaryotic ribosome. It is transcribed by RNA polymerase I as part of the 45S precursor that also contains 18S and 28S rRNA. Functionally, it is thought that 5.8S rRNA may be involved in ribosome translocation. The record is from Rfam by way of RNAcentral. Lineage: Eukaryota; Metazoa; Arthropoda; Arachnida; Araneae; Eresidae.
AACUUUGAGCAGUGGAUCACUUGGCUCACGGGUUGAUGAAGAACACAGCCAGCAGCGAGACUUGAUGUGAAUUGCAGGACACACUGAGCACUGAUUUUUCAAAUGUAUAUUCCAGUCUUUAGUCAUACCCGCACCCUCACCUGUCUGAGGGUUG